AUUUUUGGAUAAUCGCGUGGGAUAGAGAUUCCAUGAGGAAAGUCCAUGCUAGCACGGGCUGUGAUGCCCGUAGUGUUUGUGCUAGGUGAAACGAUAAGCCUAGGGACGAGAGAUCGUUACGGCGGACAAAAAGGCUACGUUUUCGAAUAGGCCUGACUAGUCCUGAAAGUGCCACAGUGACGGAGUUUUCCUGGAAACGGGAAAAGUGGAACGCGGUAAACCCCUCAAGCUAGCAACCCAAACUUUGGUCGGGGCAUGGGAUGCGUGGAAGACGAACAUAGCAUCCUGACUGGAAACAGUAGACAGAUGAUUAUCGAAGGAGGCGAGACCUAGUCGCUUCUGGAACAAAACAUGGCUUAUAGAA
RNAcentral lists this RNase P RNA (364 nucleotides) under Streptococcus sp. DD13. RNAcentral describes it as "Bacterial RNase P class B". It matches the Rfam family "Bacterial RNase P class B". From Rfam's summary of the family: Ribonuclease P (RNase P) is a ubiquitous endoribonuclease, found in archaea, bacteria and eukarya as well as chloroplasts and mitochondria. Its best characterised activity is the generation of mature 5'-ends of tRNAs by cleaving the 5'-leader elements of precursor-tRNAs. Lineage: Bacteria; Bacillati; Bacillota; Bacilli; Lactobacillales; Streptococcaceae. The record is from Rfam by way of RNAcentral.